ACAGGAGAGAUGCUCUAGUCCCUUCAUCAUCUUAGUGGAGCUUUGCUGGACUCUUUCCAGUAUGUCCAGGUCUUGCUUGUACUGGGGAGCCUAAAACUAGACACAGCACUCCAGGUGUGGCCUCACACAGUGCUGAGUAGAGGAGAAGGAUCAUCUCCCUCCACCUGCUGGCAAUACUUCCCUAAUGCAGCCCAGGAUACUAUUCAUCAUCUUUGCA
Molecule: long non-coding RNA, 217 nt
Organism: Tyto alba (common barn owl)
Lineage: Eukaryota; Metazoa; Chordata; Aves; Strigiformes; Tytonidae
Exons: 3
Source: RefSeq, a predicted model, not a curated record